GGACAUGUGGCUGUGUGUCCAAUCAUGAGUUUUUAUGAAGUGGUAAACCAAUGCUGUGUGUACAUGUGUCACCCCAGAACUGUAUAAAGGUGACUGCACUACUGCAAUAAAAAAGCAGCUGGUAUCCUGAAACCUAUGUCGCCCCCCGCCUCGACCGCGACAUAUGGUGAACCCACGUGAUUGCGAAGAAAGAUAGAAGAGAACUCGAUGACAAGAAGCGAACGAAGAAUCCCUCGGGCGGGACCUCGGGAAGCUGCUACCGGGAGGAUCAAGUGGCCGUUGGCCCCCCCGUUUCACUGCUUCUCAGCCCGAGAGAUGGCACGCUGCUGAGUUGCUUAUCGCUAUUACUGAGAACCUUUUCGCUGCUGUUGAGGCAUUGCCUUUGCUGUGCUCAGUUCACCACUGAAAAAACGGUUCAAGCACCAUGAAAUUGAAGCAAUCCAGUGUGAGGUUCACAAGAUGUGCAACUACACCAAGAUCCUGUCCACGAAGAAGAACCUGGAUCAUGUGAACAAGAUCCUGAAAGCCAAGCGGCUGCAGAGACAAUCAAAGUCAGGCAAUAACUUCAUCAAGAAGCGGAGGGGGUGUCCUCGGAAGGAACCCCUUUCCUUUGAUGAAGACUCCAAAGACCAAAUGCCCAUUCUGGAAAAAUGCAUUGACCUUCCCAGCAAAAGAGGUCAGAGACCAACACUCAACCCUUUAAUAUUAGAGCCAGCAGCCACUCAAGAUACAAUCAUGACCACCAUUGAGGCUGUCAUAAAUAUGGCUCGAGAGAUGCCUUCUCUCCCUCAUCCCCUUCCUCUGCCCUCUCCCUCCGCCCCGGAUGCUCUGGAAAAGAAAAAGCAAGUCCUCACAGGAGGAAGAGGAGGACAUGAAAGUGAGGUGGCACCAGAAAGACAGAGGGAGUGAAAGCGGAGGCCUUUCCUAAGCCAAGGAUCUCACAGCGCCGCCUCGUGACGGGCACUGGACAUCACAAGUUCUACUCUCCCAGUGAUCCAACAGCGCCACCUGGUGACUACAAUAGGACACUACAAGUUUUUGCACCUUCAGUGACCCAACAGCACCACCUGGUGAAUGGUACAGGACAUUACAAAUUUUGCAUCUCCAGUGACCCGACGGCGCCCCCUGCUGACUGUGGUUGGAACCGCACCAAAGGGUGCAAGAAACUGAACUAUUUUCCUUUUGCCGGUUUAUCAGUUUUGUUCUUGAAGGGGAUUAUUGGUGGUUAUAGGAGUAUUACUUAGUUAUUUUACUUGGGUUUUUUUCAUGUUCCUGUUAAUACACACAUACCUUUAAUAAAGGGCUGUUAUUUUCCCUUUUCCAUAAUUUGUUUUCCUUCAAUCGAAGCCUCUUAAUUUUGGAUUUAUAAUUACUUGGAAAGAGAAGUUUGGGUCUUUUCCUCCUAAUCCAUCCUCAGCAAAAGACCCUUGUCUCAUUUAAACUGGGACAUCCUGAUACUCAGGUCAAAUGGCUGAUCCAGACAAACAGAAAAACUUAUCAUUUGGCUGAAUAGAUUUUCUCAAUGAGUUCACUGCAGGGAGACACAAAUGUGGUACCAGGAAGGGGGAAAAGGAAAGAAGGAAGGUUUAAUUUGUCAUUACAGGAUCACAGUAACCCAGACUAGUAUCAAAUUAGCAAAUCUCCUGAAUUACUCUUAAUUAUUCU
Myiozetetes cayanensis is the source of this 1665-nucleotide long non-coding RNA. RefSeq lists it as uncharacterized. The record is from RefSeq and is a predicted model, not a curated record. The transcript is spliced from 3 exons. Lineage: Eukaryota; Metazoa; Chordata; Aves; Passeriformes; Tyrannidae.